Molecule: ribosomal RNA, 253 nt
Filed under: uncultured bacterium
Lineage: Bacteria
Description: partial 16S ribosomal RNA
Rfam family: Bacterial small subunit ribosomal RNA
Source: RNAcentral
UACGUAGGGGGCGAGCGUUGUCCGAAGUUACUGGGCGUAAAGCGCGCGUAGGCGGGUUGGCAAGUCUGCUGUGAAAGCCCGGGGCUCAACCCCGGAGGGUCGGUGGAUACUGCCAGUCUUGAAGGUGCUAGGGAGAGAUGGAAUUACCGGUGUAGCGGUGAAAUGCGUAGAGAUCGGUAGGAACACCAGUGGCGAAGGCGGUCUCUUGGGGCAUUCUUGACGCUGAGGCGCGAAAGCUGGGGGAGCGAACGGG